CAACGUUAGACAAAUUAUCGUCUACAGGCCAAAAUGAGUUUGGCUUCUCGGGGUUUCUCCUAAUAGGAAAUGAGAUUUUUAUAUGAGAACCCUGAAACCUUAACAAGACUAGGAAUGCUGAAGCUUAUAGUCAAAACAUUGGGUGCCAGAUGUUCGGUUUACAGAGGAUCUGAAGGCUUCUUUCUCAUCAAAGUUAUCCUGUAAACAACCUGCACAUCGAGAAUCUUGCACUACUUACAUUUGUGUUUUAUUCCGACUCUACAACCUACCCAACAACCAAAAAAUAUCAUCUACUGAUGGAAAAAGUGGGGAAAAUAAGACAAUGUGGAAUUUCCCUCACCAGAGAAUUUCAAUAGUUGUUUGUGGCUUGACUAACACAUAUGUCUCACAUCUUG
This 395-nucleotide long non-coding RNA is filed under the name Olea europaea (common olive). RNAcentral describes it as "long non-coding RNA (OEUR_LNC009351)". The record is from RNAcentral. Lineage: Eukaryota; Viridiplantae; Streptophyta; Magnoliopsida; Lamiales; Oleaceae.